Molecule: ribosomal RNA, 253 nt
Filed under: uncultured bacterium
Lineage: Bacteria
Description: partial 16S ribosomal RNA
Rfam family: Bacterial small subunit ribosomal RNA
Source: RNAcentral
UACGGAGGAUGCAAGCGUUAUCCGGAAUGAUUGGGCGUAAAGCGUCCGCAGGUGGCUAUGUAAGUCUGCUGUUAAAGAGUGAGGCUCAACCUCAUAAGAGCAGUGGAAACUACAUGGCUAGAGUGCGUUCGGGGCAGAGGGAAUUCCUGGUGUAGCGGUGAAAUGCGUAGAUAUCGGUAGGAACACCAGUGGCGAAGGCGACUUCCUGGCCUGUUCUUGACGCUGAGGCGCGAAAGCUAGGGGAGCAAACGGG